GCCGGGCGCAGUGGUGCACGCCUGUAAUCCUAGUGGCUGGGGAGGCUGAGACAGGAGGAUCAAGAGUUCAAAGCCAGCCUCAGCGAAAGCAAGGCACUAAACAACUCAGGGAGACCCUGUCUCUA
RNAcentral lists this small RNA (125 nucleotides) under Marmota monax (woodchuck). The record is from RNAcentral. Lineage: Eukaryota; Metazoa; Chordata; Mammalia; Rodentia; Sciuridae.